Long non-coding RNA from Anopheles stephensi (Asian malaria mosquito), 535 nucleotides. RefSeq lists it as uncharacterized. The transcript has 2 exons. The record is from RefSeq and is a predicted model, not a curated record. Lineage: Eukaryota; Metazoa; Arthropoda; Insecta; Diptera; Culicidae.
GUUUUGUUUUGCUUUAUAUUCGAUUUUGUUUUAAAAGGCUGUUAUUAAAAUCUUUACAAUUUGGCAUUCAUGUACUUUCAAUGAACAUUGCGUUAUAUGUAUGUGGGUCAGCUUGUGUGUGUGUGUGUGUGUGUGUGUGUUUGUGUGUUUGGCCGGUUGAACACAGGGAAACUAAUAAACGGCGCAACGCACUCACACACACACAUAGAAAUGUAGGUCACAAAACCAAUAGAUUCAACAACAGAAUUAAAGAAAACACAACGCAAACACACACACAUAAUCAAAUAAAGCUGAAAUAAAUAAAAGAAUAUAGAGUAGUCCAAUAAAUGCAAAGGUCUGGCAAAGAAGAAAUAAAAAAACAAACAAACUCAUAGAAAAAGUGCUCCUAAAUUGCAAUAUAAACAACGAUGGCGGAAAACCAAGCGCAACCAAAAACGAGCGAACGCAAAACGAACCAAAUACUUUGCAAAACCAAAAACCACGGGAUCGAGCUAACAGAAGUAAAAUCAAAAAUGGCGCAACAAAAAAAAAAAAA